CGGUAAGGCCCUUCGGGGUACACGAGCGGCGAACGGGUGAGUAACACGUGGGUGAUCUGCCUCGCACUCUGGGAUAAGCCUGGGAAACUGGGUCUAAUACCGGAUAUGACCUUACAUCGCAUGGUGUUUGGUGGAAAGAUUUAUCGGUGCGAGAUGGGCCCGCGGCCUAUCAGCUUGUUGGUGGGGUAAUGGCCUACCAAGGCGACGACGGGUAGCCGGCCUGAGAGGGCGACCGGCCACACUGGGACUGAGACACGGCCCAGACUCCUACGGGAGGCAGCAGUGGGGAAUAUUGCACAAUGGGCGAAAGCCUGAUGCAGCGACGCCGCGUGAGGGAUGACGGCCUUCGGGUUGUAAACCUCUUUCGACAGGGACGAAGCGCAAGUGACGGUACCUGUAGAAGAAGCACCGGCCAACUACGUGCCAGCAGCCGCGGUAAUACGUAGGGUGCGAGCGUUGUCCGGAAUUACUGGGCGUAAAGAGCUUGUAGGCGGCUUGUCGCGUCGAUCGUGAAAACUUGGGGCUCAACCCCAAGCUUGCGGUCGAUACGGGCAGGCUUGAGUACUUCAGGGGAGACUGGAAUUCCUGGUGUAGCGGUGAAAUGCGCAGAUAUCAGGAGGAACACCGGUGG
RNAcentral lists this ribosomal RNA (631 nucleotides) under Nocardia sp. YIM 75597. RNAcentral describes it as "bacterial SSU rRNA". It matches the Rfam family "Bacterial small subunit ribosomal RNA", at positions 67 to 715 of the family's 1533-position model. The record is from RNAcentral. Lineage: Bacteria; Bacillati; Actinomycetota; Actinomycetes; Mycobacteriales; Nocardiaceae.